GGUAAGGCAACGGGUUUUGGUCCCGCUAUUCGGAGGUUCGAAUCCCUCCGUCCCAG
Molecule: transfer RNA, 56 nt
Filed under: Sophora tomentosa
Lineage: Eukaryota; Viridiplantae; Streptophyta; Magnoliopsida; Fabales; Fabaceae
Description: partial tRNA-Gln
Source: RNAcentral